UGGACUCAAGAUGAAUCCUGACCUUAUUUCCUCUAUGAAAUCCCCAGUGAAAUCACUGGAGCUGCAGAGUGUAAACAAGGGCAGAGUAUGACUUUAUAUGAAUAUGCUCACAACUGAAUUGUGAAAUGACAUCUUCGAAACAACUUUCCUUUGACACAUUACCAACCCAGAGAAACUCAAGAGUAAGAUAAAUAAGAUUAAAAUAGAAUCUUGUUCUCCUUCAAAUUCAGGUGCAUAAAAUUCAUGAACAAGACAAAAAAAAAAGCCUUUGAAAGCAUUCAUCUGAAGUUUGAUGUGAAAAGUACACAAGAGCACAAAAACAGUGGUAACUGGUCAGACUAAAGCUUCCUGAAAUCAACUAACCAGGCUCAAGCACUCUAGGAUCAAAGACUAAUCAUUCAGAUGAGGAACUUUUUGACAUUCCCUAAGAAGAAACAGAAAAGUUCCUCAGCCUGGUGUGUGAAGACCUGAAGUUCCUCUUAUGUGUGACCAAAUCCACUGCAGCAGAAAUAUCCUCACAUCAGCUGUUUCCUGAUGCCAACAAAUGAUUUGGAUGGCACAUUCAACCUGUCUGCCAGGAACAGCCAGGGGAAAUACAGCAAAUACAUAAUGCUCUCCUGGGACCUGACCCUCAUCUUUUCCAGAGCAUUAACACACAAGAAAAUACACAAAUGCUGGUUGGAUUUUGGCCCCCAGUUGCUCAUUUCAGUGCCUGCUACGUGAUCCUUCAAAGGAAAGAAAAGCCUUCACUUGCACAAAUGAACUUGGACUACUGACACCCCAGCUGGUAGGAUACAGCGUAGAACAACAGCACUGUUCACCACAGGAGAAUCUGAGGAACAGAUUUCUGGAAAUCUGUUUGUGACAAUAGAAGGUGUUGGUCAUGGGGAGCCUCUUCCUGAUAACUGUGUCCUGGAAGUCGACUUGCGACACAGGAGAAGC
RNAcentral lists this long non-coding RNA (942 nucleotides) under Apteryx rowi (Okarito brown kiwi). Its description in RNAcentral is "lncRNA (ENSARWG00000007108.1)". The record is from RNAcentral. Lineage: Eukaryota; Metazoa; Chordata; Aves; Apterygiformes; Apterygidae.